UACGUAGGCAGCAAGCGUUGUUCGGAAUUACUGGGCGUAAAGGGUGCGUAGGCGGUGCUCUAAGUUUGGUGUGAAAUCUCCCGGCUUAACUGGGAGGGUGCGCCGAAAACUGGAGCGCUUGAGUGCGGGAGAGGAAAGCGGAAUUCCUGGUGUAGCGGUGAAAUGCGUAGAGAUCAGGAGGAACACCUGCGGUGUAGACGGCUUUCUGGACCGUAACUGACGCUGAGGCACGAAAGCGUGGGUAGCGAACGGG
This 253-nucleotide ribosomal RNA is filed under the name uncultured bacterium. RNAcentral's name for it is "partial 16S ribosomal RNA". It matches the Rfam family "Bacterial small subunit ribosomal RNA", at positions 524 to 776 of the family's 1533-position model. The record is from RNAcentral.